CAGCAGCCGCGGUAAUGCGUAGGUGGCAAGCGUUGUCCGGAAUUAUUGGGCGUAAAGGGCUCGCAGGCGGUUUCUUAAGUCUGAUGUGAAAGCCCCCGGCUCAACCGGGGAGGGUCAUUGGAAACUGGGAAACUUGAGUGCAGAAGAGGAGAGUGGAAUUCCACGUGUAGCGGUGAAAUGCGUAGAGAUGUGGAGGAACACCAGUGGCGAAGGCGACUCUCUGGUCUGUAACUGACGCUGAGGAGCGAAAGCGUGGGGAGCAAACAGGAUUAGAUACCCGCGUAGUCCCUGUCUCUUAUAC
This 301-nucleotide ribosomal RNA is filed under the name uncultured bacterium. RNAcentral describes it as "partial 16S ribosomal RNA". It matches the Rfam family "Bacterial small subunit ribosomal RNA", at positions 509 to 807 of the family's 1533-position model. The record is from RNAcentral.